AAAAAUCACAAUUGUAAGUCGCUUUGGAUAAGAGCGUCUGCUAAAUGACUAAAA
Molecule: non-coding RNA, 54 nt
Organism: Salmo salar (Atlantic salmon)
Lineage: Eukaryota; Metazoa; Chordata; Actinopteri; Salmoniformes; Salmonidae
Source: Rfam